CUGUGACGUCACGGCCACGCCCCCGGCCAGGCGCGCGCGGGGUCUCCCCCUCACGGCCCCCCCGCCAUUUUCGGUGUCCGUUUCCUUCCGCCGCCGCUUUUCCUUUUCCUUCCGGGACGCGGCGGAACCGGGCCCGGGGGGGAAAAUCCAAACCCCCGCGGUUCCCGGGAUGAGCGGCCGCGUCCGGCCGGGCCCGCGGCGUCCAUGACAGGAGGAGCCGGCGCUGCUCCGAGACGCUCCGGGCCCGGGGGCUCCGCACGGAUCCGGCGCUCGGGCUCUCCCCGUUCCGGUGGCCCCGGGGGGCUCCGGGGGGCUCGGGGCCACCAUGAGUGAGGUGCUGGUGGUCAAAGAGGGGUGGCUGCACAAGA
Molecule: long non-coding RNA, 368 nt
Organism: Malurus melanocephalus (red-backed fairy wren)
Lineage: Eukaryota; Metazoa; Chordata; Aves; Passeriformes; Maluridae
Exons: 3
Source: RefSeq, a predicted model, not a curated record